AGAAGCAUUGUUAAGGAACUCGGCAAAAUGACCCCGUAACUUCGGGAGAAGGGGUGCCCUGUGAAAGCAGGGCCGCAGAGAAUAGGCUCAAGCAACUGUUUAGCAAAAACACAGGUCUAUGCGAAACCGAAAGGUGAGGUAUAUGGGCUGACGCCUGCCCGGUGCUGGAAGGUUAAGAGGAGAUGUUAGAGCAAUCGAAGCAUUGAAUUUAAGCCCCAGUAAACGGCGGCCGUAACUAUAACGGUCCUAAGGUAGCGAAAUUCCUUGUCGGGUAAGUUCCGACCCGCACGAAAGGCGUAAUGAUUUGAGCACUGUCUCGACAAUGCAUCCGGUGAAAUUGAAGUACCAGUGAAGAUGCUGGUUACCUGCGCCAGGACGGAAAGACCCCAUGGAGCUUUACUCUAGCUUGAUACUGGGAUUCGGUAUUGCAUGUACAGGAUAGGUGGGAGACGAAGAGGUGAUGACGCCAGUUGUCACGGAGUCGAUGUUGGGAUACCACCCCUGCAGUACUGGGUUUCUAACCUGCGGCCGUGACCCGGCCGGGGGACAAUGUCUGGUGGGGAGUUUGACUGGGGCGGUCGCCUCCGAAAGGGUAUCGGAGGCGCUCAAAGGUUCCCUCAGAAUGGUUGGAAACCAUUCGAAGAGUGCAAAGGCAGAAGGGAGCUUGACUGCGACACCGACGGGUGGAGCAGGUACGAAAGUAGGACUUAGUGAUCCGGUGGUAUAAAGUGGGAUUGCCAUCGCUCAACGGAUAAAAGCUACCCUGGGGAUAACAGGCUUAUCACUCCCAAGAGUUCACAUCGACGGAGUGGUUUGGCACCUCGAUGUCGGCUCAUCGCAUCCUGGGGCUGUAGUAGGUCCCAAGGGUUGGGCUGUUCGCCCAUUAAAGCGGUACGCGAGCUGGGUUCAGAACGUCGUGAGACAGUUCGGUCCCUAUCCGGCGUGGGCGUAGGAUAUUUGAGAGGAGCUGUCCUUAGUACGAGAGGACCGGGAUGGACGGACCACUGGUGUAUCUGUUGUCGACCAACGGCAUGGCAGAGUAGCCAAGUCUGGAAGGGAUAAACGCUGAAGGCAUCUAAGCGUGAAGCCCCCCUCAAGAUGAGAUAUCCC
This 1110-nucleotide ribosomal RNA is filed under the name human gut metagenome. Its description in RNAcentral is "bacterial LSU rRNA". It matches the Rfam family "Bacterial large subunit ribosomal RNA", at positions 1695 to 2815 of the family's 2925-position model. The record is from RNAcentral.